UGCUAGUCGAGCGCCUUCCAGCCACGAAGAAGGCGCGGCACACAGCUCAGUAACACGUAGCUAACCUGCCCUCGGGACGAGAACACCCCCGGGAAACUGGGGCUAAUUCUCGAUAGGCGAAGAACUCUGGAAUGAGUCUUUACCCAAAAGACGUUUAGAUCAUGCUUCUAGGCGUCGCCCAAGGAUGGGGCUGCGGCCGAUCAGGUAGUUGGUGAGGCAAUGGCUCACCAAGCCUUUAACCGGUGCGGGCCGUGGGAGCGGGAGCCCGGAGAUGGGCACUGAGACAAGGGCCCAGGCCCUACGGGGCGCAGCAGUCGCGAAAACUUUGCAAUAAGCGAAAGCUUGACAGGGCUAUCCCGAGUGCCAUCCGCUGAGGAAGGCUUUUACCCAGUCUAGUAAGCUGGGGGAAUAAGGAGAGGGCAAGUCUGGUGUCAGCCGCCGCGGUAAUACCAGCUCUCCGAGUGGUGUGGAUGUUUAUUGGGCCUAAAGCAUCCGUAGCUGGCUGAGUUAGUCCCCUGUUAAAUCCACCGAAUCAAUCGUUGGAUUGCGGGGGAUACUGCUCGGCUAGGGGACGGGAGAGGCAGACGGUAUUUCCGGGGUAAGGGUGAAAUCUUAUAAUCCCGGGAAGACCACCAGUGGCGAAGGCUGUCUGCUAGAACGCGCCCGACGGUGAGGGAUGAAAGCUGGGGUAGCGAACCGGAUUAGAUACCCGGGUAGUCCCAGCCGUAAACGAUGCAGGCUAGGUGUUUGGGCGGCCACGUGCCGCUCUAGUGCCGCAGGGAAGCUGUUAAGCCUGCCGCCUGGGGAGUACGAUCGCAAGAUUGAAACUUAA
Molecule: ribosomal RNA, 832 nt
Filed under: uncultured crenarchaeote
Lineage: Archaea; Thermoproteati; Thermoproteota
Description: bacterial SSU rRNA
Rfam family: Archaeal small subunit ribosomal RNA
Source: RNAcentral